GGGGGCGACCUGGUUUCGACGUGGGUUGCAAAGCAGAGUGGGGCAUACCGAGGACCAGUACCUUGUAAAAAGCUGGAAAACUUUAAACGCAAACGACGAACGUUUCGCUUUAGCCGCUUAAUCGGCUAAACUCCACGCCGGCAGUCCAUGGGCCGGGCCUGAUUCUGGGCAGUGGAGUCAUUUACAUGGAAUCGCAACAUGCAGGGUCGCUUUGCAUGACGCUAAAAAAUAGGCGACUCGCCUGAAGCAAGCCUGUUCGGCUGGCGUGCCAGGGUUAAAUCAAACAACCGGACUAAGUAUGUAGAACUGCCUGUAGAGGGCUUGCGGACGCGGGUUCGAUUCCCGCCGCCUCCACCA
RNAcentral lists this transfer-messenger RNA (357 nucleotides) under Burkholderiales. RNAcentral's name for it is "JABEVD01 sp019753155 Standard tmRNA". It matches the Rfam family "transfer-messenger RNA". From Rfam's summary of the family: Bacterial tmRNA, also known as 10Sa RNA or SsrA, is named for its dual tRNA and mRNA-like properties. Its role is to liberate the mRNA from a stalled ribosome. Lineage: Bacteria; Pseudomonadati; Pseudomonadota; Betaproteobacteria. RNAcentral also lists the same sequence under 1 other name. The record is from RNAcentral.